GCUGGCAGCUAGGUCUCUGCAACUUUCACAUUGUUGCCCACUGAAGCUAAGAAGGGCUGAGCCUGGUCAGUACCUGGAUGGGAGACCCCAUGGGAAAGCUAGGUUGCUGCUGGAA
Ribosomal RNA from Danio rerio (zebrafish), 115 nucleotides. The record is from Ensembl. Lineage: Eukaryota; Metazoa; Chordata; Actinopteri; Cypriniformes; Danionidae.